UGUGACUAUGUGUUCAACGGCCGCGGUAUUUUGACCGUGCAAAGGUAGCGCAAUCACUUGUCUUUUAAAUAGAGACCUGUAUGAAUGGCAUAACGAGGGCUUAACUGUCUCCUUUACCUGGUCAAUGAAAUUGAUCUCCCCGUGCAGAAGCGGGAAUAUUAAUAUAAGACGAGAAGACCCUGUGGAGCUUCAGACAAUAGGGGGAUUUUAUGUAGUAAACCUAAACAGGACACAAACAAAUUCACACUCCCCCCAAUGUUUUCGGUUGGGGGACCGCGGAGUAAAAGACAACCUCCAUGAGGAUUGAGGAAUUACCUUAAAACCUAGAACGACAGUUCAAAGAAACAAAAAUUUUGACCUAAAGAUCCGGCACAGCCGAUCAACGAACCGAGUUACCCCAGGGAUAACAGCGCAAUCCCCUUCAAGAGUCCCUAUCGACAAGGGGGUUUACGACCUCGAUGUUGGAUCAGGGUAUCUAAUGGUGUAGCC
This 489-nucleotide ribosomal RNA is filed under the name Syngnathus floridae (dusky pipefish). RNAcentral describes it as "partial 16S ribosomal RNA". It matches the Rfam family "Bacterial large subunit ribosomal RNA", at positions 1911 to 2560 of the family's 2925-position model. RNAcentral also lists the same sequence under 1 other name. Lineage: Eukaryota; Metazoa; Chordata; Actinopteri; Syngnathiformes; Syngnathidae. The record is from RNAcentral.